CUAGAAAGACGAGCUUUGAUCUCGUAAAAAUUUAGUUAACAGCUAAAUACUCUAUCCAGUGAGCUUCUUUCUA
RNAcentral lists this transfer RNA (73 nucleotides) under Pristimantis pirrensis. RNAcentral's name for it is "tRNA-Asn". The record is from RNAcentral. Lineage: Eukaryota; Metazoa; Chordata; Amphibia; Anura; Strabomantidae.